Molecule: long non-coding RNA, 267 nt
Organism: Mobula hypostoma (lesser devil ray)
Lineage: Eukaryota; Metazoa; Chordata; Chondrichthyes; Myliobatiformes; Myliobatidae
Exons: 4
Source: RefSeq, a predicted model, not a curated record
AGAGACGCGAUGAAUCAGAUCCUCCCAGACUGGUCUAUAAGCUCUCCUCAGACUCCAUCUGCCCCAGGGAAUCGCACAGCAUGAAUCUGGAUAGAUCACCCUUCGACUAACAUAGAAAGAAGUGCAGAAGCAGCAAGUUCUAUAAAACACGUUUGAUUGAAUGAUCAUCAAGGCAGAUCCAGAAUGAUGCACAAAUCUUGGAGUCCAUAAUUCCCCAAAAUUUGGAAUCGGGGGAGAUGGUAAAAAUUUCUCCUUUUUAGUUUUAUA